Molecule: ribosomal RNA, 425 nt
Filed under: uncultured bacterium
Lineage: Bacteria
Description: partial 16S ribosomal RNA
Rfam family: Bacterial small subunit ribosomal RNA
Source: RNAcentral
GUGGGGAAUCUUGCGCAAUGGGCGAAAGCCUGACGCAGCCAUGCCGCGUGAAUGAUGAAGGUCUUAGGAUUGUAAAAUUCUUUCACCGGGGACGAUAAUGACGGUACCCGGAGAAGAAGCUCCGGCUAACUUCGUGCCAGCAGCCGCGGUAAUACGAAGGGGGCUAGCGUUGUUCGGAAUUACUGGGCGUAAAGCGCACGUAGGCGGAUAUUUAAGUCAGGGGUGAAAUCCCGGAGCUCAACUCCGGAACUGCCUUUGAUACUGGGUAUCUCGAGUAUGGAAGAGGUGAGUGGAAUUCCGAGUGUAGAGGUGAAAUUCGUAGAUAUUCGGAGGAACACCAGUGGCGAAGGCGGCUCACUGGUCCAUUACUGACGCUGAGGUGCGAAAGCGUGGGGAGCAAACAGGAUUAGAAACCCGAGUAGUCC